Molecule: ribosomal RNA, 416 nt
Filed under: Microbacterium sp. F354
Lineage: Bacteria; Bacillati; Actinomycetota; Actinomycetes; Micrococcales; Microbacteriaceae
Description: bacterial SSU rRNA
Rfam family: Bacterial small subunit ribosomal RNA
Source: RNAcentral
GUGAGCAACCUGCCCCUGACUCUGGGAUAAGCGCUGGAAACGGCGUCUAAUACCGGAUAUGAGCUGCGAUCGCAUGGUCAGCAGUUGGAAAGAUUUUUCGGUCUGGGAUGGGCUCACGGCCUAUCAGCUUGUUGGUGAGGUAAUGGCUCACCAAGGCGUCGACGGGUAGCCGGCCUGAGAGGGUGACCGGCCACACUGGGACUGAGACACGGCCCAGACUCCUACGGGAGGCAGCAGUGGGGAAUAUUGCACAAUGGGCGAAAGCCUGAUGCAGCAACGCCGCGUGAGGGAUGACGGCCUUCGGGUUGUAAACCUCUUUUAGCAGGGAAGAAGCGAAAGUGACGGUACCUGCAGAAAAAGCGCCGGCUAACUACGUGCCAGCAGCCGCGGUAAUACGUAGGGCGCAAGCGUUAUCC